AAAGUCUUAGGUUAACUAAACUUUCAUCCUUCAAAGUUGAAGAUUAUAGACUUUA
Molecule: transfer RNA, 55 nt
Filed under: Sperchon plumifer
Lineage: Eukaryota; Metazoa; Arthropoda; Arachnida; Trombidiformes; Sperchontidae
Description: tRNA-Trp
Source: RNAcentral